CAGUAGUACUAGGAUGGGUGACCUCCUGGGAAGUCCUCGUGUUGCACCCCU
This 51-nucleotide ribosomal RNA is filed under the name Chenopodium quinoa (quinoa). Lineage: Eukaryota; Viridiplantae; Streptophyta; Magnoliopsida; Caryophyllales; Amaranthaceae. The record is from RNAcentral.